This 255-nucleotide ribosomal RNA is filed under the name Escherichia coli. RNAcentral's name for it is "partial 16S ribosomal RNA". It matches the Rfam family "Bacterial small subunit ribosomal RNA", at positions 140 to 397 of the family's 1533-position model. Lineage: Bacteria; Pseudomonadati; Pseudomonadota; Gammaproteobacteria; Enterobacterales; Enterobacteriaceae. The record is from RNAcentral.
GGGAUAACUACUGGAAACGGUAGCUAAUACCGCAUAACGUCGCAAGACCAAAGAGGGGGACCUUCGGGCCUCUUGCCAUCGGAUGUGCCCAGAUGGGAUUAGCUAGUAGGUGGGGUAACGGCUCACCAAGGCGACGAUCCCUAGCUGGUCUGAGAGGAUGACCAGCCACACUGGAACUGAGACACGGUCCAGACUCCUACGGGAGGCAGCAGUGGGGAAUAUUGCACAAUGGGCGCAAGCCUGAUGCAGCCAUGC